UGCUACCUUCCGGAUGGAGGUGAAGGAGGUAACCCCCAGGCAGGCCAAUUUGAAAGUGUGCUCCAUAUAUCACUGUGAAUGGGAAGAAAGAACUUCAUCAAGAUUGAUCUUGCCUGAUACAUCUGGUGAUUAAUGAGCGGAGAUCGAGACUGUUUACCAUAUCAGCUGAGAGAUAAAUACGUAGAGGAACGAAAUCAGGUCAAUUUCUCAAGACCUGCGUGUUCCAGGCCAGACCAGGAAGAAGCAAAGAAACUCACCCGCUGCCUGUUCUGC
Molecule: long non-coding RNA, 273 nt
Organism: Fukomys damarensis (Damara mole-rat)
Lineage: Eukaryota; Metazoa; Chordata; Mammalia; Rodentia; Bathyergidae
Exons: 3
Source: RefSeq, a predicted model, not a curated record